This 449-nucleotide ribosomal RNA is filed under the name uncultured bacterium. Its description in RNAcentral is "bacterial SSU rRNA". It matches the Rfam family "Bacterial small subunit ribosomal RNA", at positions 328 to 793 of the family's 1533-position model. The record is from RNAcentral.
GUACCAGACUCCUACGGGAGGCAGCAGUGGGGAAUAUUGGGCAAUGGGCGCAAGCCUGACCCAGCAACGCCGCGUGAAGGAAGAAGGUUUUCGGGUUGUAAACUUCUUUUGACAGGGAAGAGUAGAAGACGGUACCUGUCGAAUAAGCCACGGCUAACUCCGUGCCAGCAGCCGCGGUAAUACGGAGGAUGCGAGCGUUAUCCGGAUUUAUUGGGUUUAAAGGGUGCGCAGGCGGCCUGUUAAGUCAGCGGUAAAAGCCCGGGCAACAACCCCGGCGAGCCGUUGAAACUGGCGGGCUGGAGUUGGAGAGAAGUACGCGGAAUGCGCGGUGUAGCGGUGAAAUGCUUAGAUAUCGCGCAGAACCCCGAUUGCGAAGGCAGCGUACCGGCUCCACACUGACGCUGAGGCACGAAAGCGUGGGUAUCGAACAGGAUUAGAUACCCCGGUAA